Molecule: long non-coding RNA, 1844 nt
Organism: Paramisgurnus dabryanus
Lineage: Eukaryota; Metazoa; Chordata; Actinopteri; Cypriniformes; Cobitidae
Source: RefSeq, a predicted model, not a curated record
UAGCUCCACCCCAACAUCUUAUAACUCCCUCUUGCAGGCUUUGCCAGAUUCACACAAAGAAAUUCAGCUUUACGUGUAGAAACAAGAGAAAAGUCCAAAAGACUAGAAACCAAAAUGGGUAUCAGCCAGUUACUGAAUAAGCCUUCAGGUGGGGAUAAAGAAAUGAAUUCAGGAUAUCAAGUGGUCACUAUGCAGCCGGAAGUUAAUGUGAUCAACACUCCACUGGAUAAACCACUGCCAGAUCACCUGGGUUACUCCAUCUUUACCACACUGUGCUGUUUUUUACCUCUUGGCCUUGCUGCUUUGGUUUACUCCAUCACAACUCAAAAUGCAAACCUGUUCGGACACCGACAAAUGGCAGAGAAAAAUUCCAGAAUUGCACUCAGACUUAACCAUGUCAGUCUUUUUAUUGGCAUUACAAUAUAUUUGUUAGUCAUCAGCUUUAUUAUUUUUGUUGGGUUCAUGUUUUUUUCCGGAAUUUUAGACUAGGGCUUACAUAAGGACUGAAGUGGUCGGAUGUGAUGGUAUACUUCUGUUUUUGGUAUAUCAGUUGUACUUUCAUACAACUGCCAAGGACUAUGUGUGGGUAGUGUGUGAUAUAGAGCCCGCUGUAUUGUUGUUGAUGAACUUUUGGAUAACUGUGAUUUUUUAUGUUUGCAAGAGACUUUUUUUAAUUAAGCAAAACUUGGAAAAAUUGAAUUCUUUUAAUAGGAAUUUUUAUGGAGCUUUUGGGUCCACUACAUUACAGAUGUUUUAUGCCCUAAAACUGUAUGAACCAUUUGCACGCACAUGUUUGUGCAGAUCUCAGACUUAAAUGCCUUUCACAUACUGAAAUUAAAAGUAUUUUUUCCCUUAGGGCAGAAAUGUGUAAUAGUUAAACAUCAUGAGGCAAUUCAUUGAAAUUAUUGACUUUGACAAACUGUGACGUGGUCCAAGCUCCUUUCCCAAAACAGUACUGAUAAAGAAAUGCUCUGUUUAUUUAUUGCCGUUUUUGUUGCAGAUCUAUAAAAAAAGAAACUAAGAGAUCUAAAGAGGUCUAAUAUUUGAUAUUGAUUCCAACAGAGAGGUUAAAUAAUUGAAAAUAUUUGAUAUUUUUUGGUAAAAUUACAGAUGUACAAAAAAAAUUUAAAGCUACAUAACAUCCUGAAAGAGGCACUAAGUGUUGUGCGCAUUAAUAAGUUGGGCCAGCUAGUCACUUUUUGACAAUCAGACUGUAUACCUAUACUGUAUUAUGUAAAACCUAACACAUUAUUUUGGGGCAAUGUUUUAUCAUUGUAUCUGUGUCUGUAUGUUGCAAACGAACAGUAUAUGUACAUUUUCCUUUGACAACCAAUUUGCCAAUAUUUUUAACAGUAUAUCUAUUAUUUUAAUAGAAUAAGAUAUAUGUUUAUGCAUAUAUGUAACUGCAAACAGAGCUGUUUCUAGACAUAGACAAACUAGGUGGUUGUUAUGGAUGUCUUCAGGUCACAGUUUUCUAGUCAUAGUGACAGGAUCAUGGCAGCCCCAUGUUUUGUGUGAGAGCACUGGCUUUGUUUUUCCUUUGCUUUUUGCAGCAUGGGAUGGUGUAUUAUUCUGCAUGAAAGAAAAUUUAUUUCAGAAGACAUGAAUCCUUUCACAUCUAGUGAAAACCUUUUUUAUAGGAACUUUACAUAUCUUCUAGAUGUCCUUUUGGCUCAGGGACUCUAAAGGGACCUAACAUCUUACUUCCCAAUAUUCCAGUCCAAAUCAUUAGUCUGCCAUCUCCCCCUAAUGUUACAGUGUUGUUUGACUAUUCACCAACAAUCCAGAAUAUACUAUACAGUGUAUUAUGGCAUGUCCAUGAAUAAAAUUGUUUGAAAACUUCA